CACGUAGUUAGCCGUGGCUUUCUGGUUAGGUACCGUCAAGGUACGAGCAGUUACUCUCGUACUUGUUCUUCCCUAACAACAGAGCUUUACGACCCGAAGGCCUUCUUCGCUCACGCGGCGUUGCUCCGUCAGACUUUCGUCCAUUGCGGAAGAUUCCCUA
This 160-nucleotide ribosomal RNA is filed under the name uncultured bacterium. Its description in RNAcentral is "partial 16S ribosomal RNA". The record is from RNAcentral.